CGCGAAAACUCUGCAAUGAGCGAAAGCUUGACAGGGCUAUCCCGAGUGCCAUCCGCUGAGGAAGGCUUUUACCCAGUCUAAAACGCUGGGGGAAUAAGGAGAGGGCAAGUCUGGUGUCCGCCGCCGCGGUAAUACCAGCUCUCCCAGUGGUGUGGAUGUUUAUUGGGCCUAAAGCGUCCCUAACUGGGUUAUUUAGUCCCCUGUUAAAUCCACCGAAUUAAUCCUUGGAUUGCGGGGGAUACUGCUUGUCUAUGGGACCAGAGAGACAUACGGUAUUUCCGGGGUAGGGGUGAAAUCCUAUAAUCCCGGGAAGACCACCACUGGCGAAAGCUGUCUGCUACAAAGCGCCCGACAGUGAGGGAUAAAAGCUGGGGGAGCGAACCGGAUAAUAUACCCGGGUAGUCCCAGCUGUAAACGAUGCACACUAUGUGUUUGAACGGCCACGUGCCGUUCUAUUGCCGCAGGGAAACUGUUAAAUCUGCCGCCUGGGGAGUACAAUCGCAAGAUUGAAACUUAAAGGAAUUGGCGGGGGAGCAC
RNAcentral lists this ribosomal RNA (537 nucleotides) under uncultured archaeon. RNAcentral's name for it is "bacterial SSU rRNA". It matches the Rfam family "Archaeal small subunit ribosomal RNA", at positions 340 to 879 of the family's 1478-position model. The record is from RNAcentral.